Molecule: ribosomal RNA, 392 nt
Filed under: uncultured eukaryote
Lineage: Eukaryota
Description: SSU rRNA
Rfam family: Eukaryotic small subunit ribosomal RNA
Source: RNAcentral
AGCUCCAAUAGCGUAUACUAAAGUUGUUGCGAUUAAAAAGCUCGUAGUUGGAUCUCAGGCAUGGGCGCGCGGUCCGCCUCGCGGCGGUCACUGUGUGUUGUUUCCCAUCCUACGCUUCCCGGUUGUUCAGCCCAUGGUGCUCUUCAUUGAGCGUUUUGGGUGGCCGGAACGUUUACUUUGAAGAAAUUAGAGUGUUCAAAGCAGGCACGUCGCCUGAAUAAUGGUGCAUGGAAUAAUGGAAUAGGACCUCGGUUCUAUUUUGCUGGUUUUCGGAACACGAGGUAAUGAUUAAGAGGGACAGACGGGGGCAUCCGUAUUGCGGUGUUAGAGGUGAAAUUCUUGGAUCAUCGCAAGACGAACAACUGCGAAAGCAUUUGCCAAGCAUGUUUUCA